This 311-nucleotide long non-coding RNA is filed under the name Prunus persica (peach). RNAcentral describes it as "long non-coding RNA (PPER_LNC001511)". The record is from RNAcentral. Lineage: Eukaryota; Viridiplantae; Streptophyta; Magnoliopsida; Rosales; Rosaceae.
UUUCAAAUCAUAUUUUCGCAUAGUCAUAUAUUAUUUGACCUGUUUUGUUACAGGCGACAUUGGAAAUUGGCGCAAAGUCAAUUAACAACUGUUAGUAGUGAAUUAGGGCACAGAGCCAGAGUCGUUUUGAAAUCUUCAAAGAUUUUUAGAGGAUUUGUAUGACUUAAAAAAACGAAAGCAAAGAUUUGCAGUCUUGCAGAGGAUUUCUCUAUGAAGGGUUAAGAUCUUCUAAUGUAUACUCUCGCAAAAAAAAAAAGAAAAAAAGAUCAUCGAAAGCACACGAUUGUGGUAGCUUCUAAUGCGGACAUGCC